This 532-nucleotide ribosomal RNA is filed under the name Trichoderma virens. Its description in RNAcentral is "eukaryotic LSU rRNA". The stretch from base 218 to 371 matches the Rfam family "5.8S ribosomal RNA". The record is from RNAcentral. Lineage: Eukaryota; Fungi; Ascomycota; Sordariomycetes; Hypocreales; Hypocreaceae.
CUGCGGAGGGAUCAUUACCGAGUUUACAACUCCCAAACCCAAUGUGAACGUUACCAAACUGUUGCCUCGGCGGGAUCUCUGCCCCGGGUGCGUCGCAGCCCCGGACCAAGGCGCCCGCCGGAGGACCAACCAAAACUCUUAUUGUAUACCCCCUCGCGGGUUUUUUACUAUCUGAGCCAUCUCGGCGCCCCUCGUGGGCGUUUCGAAAAUGAAUCAAAACUUUCAACAACGGAUCUCUUGGUUCUGGCAUCGAUGAAGAACGCAGCGAAAUGCGAUAAGUAAUGUGAAUUGCAGAAUUCAGUGAAUCAUCGAAUCUUUGAACGCACAUUGCGCCCGCCAGUAUUCUGGCGGGCAUGCCUGUCCGAGCGUCAUUUCAACCCUCGAACCCCUCCGGGGGGUCGGCGUUGGGGAUCGGCCCUUUACGGGGCCGGCCCCGAAAUACAGUGGCGGUCUCGCCGCAGCCUCUCCUGCGCAGUAGUUUGCACACUCGCAUCGGGAGCGCGGCGCGUCCACAGCCGUUAAACACCCCAAA